AUGUUAGGUUCCUGCGGAAGGAUCAUUACCGAGUGCGGGUCCUUUGGGCCCAACCUCCCAUCUGUGUCUAUUAUACCCUGUUGCUUCGGCGGGCCCGCCGCUUGUCGGCCGCCGGGGGGGCGCCUUUGCCCCCCGGGCCCGUGCCCGCCGGAGACCCCAACACGAACACUGUCUGAAAGCGUGCAGUCUGAGUUGAUUGAAUGCAAUCAGUUAAAACUUUCAACAAUGGAUCUCUUGGUUCCGGCAUCGAUGAAGUAACGCAGCGAAAUGCGAUAACUAAUGUGAAUUGCAGAAUUCAGUGAAUCAUCGAGUCUUUGAACGCACAUUGCGCCCCCUGGUAUUCCGGGGGGCAUGCCUGUCCGAGCGUCAUUGCUGCCCUCAAGCCCGGCUUGUGUGUUGAGUCGCCGUCCCCCUCUCCGGGGGGACGGGCCCGAAAGGCAGCGGCGGCACCGCGUCCGAUCCUCGAGCGUAUGGGGCUUUGUCACAUGCUCUGUAGGAAUUGGCCGGCGCCUGCCGACGUUUUCCAACCAUUUUUUCCAGGUUGACCUCGGAUCAGGUAGGGAUACCCGCUGAAAUUAAGCAUAUCAAUAAGCGGAGGAAAAGAAACCAACCGGGAUUGCCUCAGUAACGGCGAGUGAAGCGGCAAGAGCUCAAAUUUGAAAGCUGGCUCCUUCGGAGUCCGCAUUGUAAUUUGCAGAGGAUGCUUUGGGUGCGGCCCCCGUCUAAGUGCCCUGGAACGGGCCGUCAGAGAGGGUGAGAAUCCCGUCUUGGGCGGGGUGUCCGUGCCCGUGUAA
This 794-nucleotide ribosomal RNA is filed under the name Aspergillus tubingensis. Its description in RNAcentral is "eukaryotic LSU rRNA". The stretch from base 543 to 794 matches the Rfam family "Eukaryotic large subunit ribosomal RNA", at positions 1 to 249 of the family's 3401-position model. The record is from RNAcentral. Lineage: Eukaryota; Fungi; Ascomycota; Eurotiomycetes; Eurotiales; Aspergillaceae.